AAAAGGUGGCUAUGCUACCGCUUUUGGAUGGGCCCGCGGCGCAUUAGCUAGUUGGUGGGGUAAAGGCUUACCAAGGCAAUGAUGCGUAGCCGAACUGAGAGGUUGAUCGGCCACAUUGGGACUGAGACACGGCCCAAACUCCUACGGGAGGCAGCAGUAGGGAAUCUUCCACAAUGGGCGAAAGCCUGGUGGAGCAACGCCGCGUGGGUGAAGAAGGUCUUCGGAUCGUAAAACCCUGUUGUUAGAGAAGAAAGUGCGUGAGAGUAACUGUUCACGUUUCGACGGUAUCUAACCAGAAAGCCACGGCUAACUACGUGCCAGCAGCCGCGGUAAUACGUAGGUGGCAAGCGUUAUCCGGAUUUAUUGGGCGUAAAGGGAACGCAGGCGGUCUUUUAAGUCUGAUGUGAAAGCCUUCGGCUUAACCGGAGUAGUGCAUUGGAAACUGGGAGACUUGAGUGCAGAAGAGGAGAGUGGAACUCCAUGUGUAGCGGUGAAAUGCGUAGAUAUAUGGAAGAACACCAGUGGCGAAAGCGGCUCUCUGGUCUGUAACUGACGCUGAGGUUCGAAAGCGUGGGUAGCAAACAGGAUUAGAUACCCUGGUAGUCCACGCCGUAAACGAUGAAUGCUAAGUGUUGGAGGGUUUCCGCCCUUCA
This 653-nucleotide ribosomal RNA is filed under the name uncultured bacterium. RNAcentral describes it as "bacterial SSU rRNA". It matches the Rfam family "Bacterial small subunit ribosomal RNA", at positions 202 to 842 of the family's 1533-position model. The record is from RNAcentral.